This 3448-nucleotide long non-coding RNA is filed under the name Nicotiana tabacum (common tobacco). RNAcentral describes it as "long non-coding RNA (NTAB_LNC000436)". Lineage: Eukaryota; Viridiplantae; Streptophyta; Magnoliopsida; Solanales; Solanaceae. The record is from RNAcentral.
CUAGAUAUAAAUUUGCUAAGGAAAACAACAAAAGAUUUUUUCGGAACUUUCUAGAGUUAGUAUUCUAAAGAAAACAUCUAACAGAAAUAUAAAAACGCAAAAUCAUUUUUUUGGAUUUCUGAUUUAUAACACAUUUUUUAAUCCACAAAACUAGAAGGUAAAAGACGACAUAAAAAGAAAAAUAGACUCAAAACAUAAAAAAGAAAAAAAAAUCUCCUUUUAAUCCACUCCUGAAUGAAUGAUCCUAACUAGAUGGUCCCGGGGUGUCUGCCAUGCUCAAACUCCGGUAAGUAAAUCCACACCUGUAUGAGAAAAUUAAGACCAAAUAAAGUUAAUGACCUGGAACGCUAUGUGAGACAAUAACCCUUCCUGUUGGAUACAUGCAAGACAUCACUGAGGCUAUUUUGGCAAAACGGCCUGUGUGGCCAAAAAUGGCUAGACAUGCAAGACUUGGCUAAGACCCCGCAAAACCAAGAACCUAAGACUCACUAGGAAGACCGGACCCUAUGUGGGUUGCCUACGUAUCAUGCCCUGAAAAAUGAGAAUCAGGUAUGCGUAGUUUGGGAAGAUUGGAAACGGGCGAGUAUAAAAAAAACUAAUUUAGAGAAAAAAAAAUAUUUUUUGUCUUUUUUUUUUUGAAACNNNNNNNNNNNNNNNNNNNNNNNNNGUAGUUUGGGAAGAUUGGAAACGGGCGAGUAUAAAAAAAACUAAUUUAGAGAAAAAAAAAUAUUUUUUGUCUUUUUUUUUUUUGAAACAUGUAAACUAUUUUUGAUUUUCUUUUCCCUUUAUUUUUUAAUUUUUUUGGGGGAAAAUGAUAGGAAAGUGCAAAUUUUUUUUUUGGAUUUUCAUAUUUAUUUGUCUUUUUUUUUCUUUUUCUAAAAAAUGUGAAAGAAAAACAUAACUCGGCCCUACUUGUUUUUUUUUUACACUUCACCCUUUUUUUUCAUUUAUCCUCUAUCCUCAUUGGUCCGCCAAAUGACCCAUUUUACCCUUGAAGAUUGCAACAUGUAGCACAUUAGAAUGCAUCGGGAUGGUCUUUUAUUUUUUGAGUAUAUUUAUCCUAGACGGACCCAACCCCUGUGUUGAGUCCCCUAAGUCAAAUGCACGUGAUACAAACAAACGUUCCUACUAGGGAUCCGGCAUGAGGUUAUGUUUUUCUAAGUUUAAAUCAGUGGUUGUGUUCUUGACCUAUCUUACCUGAGGGGACAACUCGAGUCGAAGAGGAGGCAACGCACCGGGAGCACGAAAGUCUACCCGGUCUUGUUGCUGGCCCAACCUCGUUCUAUUUGGUAUACUUCUAACAGAAAAAGUGGCCCACGCGAACGUGUGCACAAUUUUUAGAAGAUUAAGAGGGGUGGCGUAAAAAGGCAUUUUAAUAUAAUUUGAACAAUAUCGAAAUGGUAAAUAAACAUCAAUUAGAAAAGGUUCACAUAAUACAGUAAUAUUAACAAUAAAUAAAAUCAAGCAUACAUCAUAUUAACAAGCUCGAAUUCUGAACCUUGAACAAGAGAUUCUGGGUUAUUUUCCCCAGUAGAGUCGUCAGAGCUGUCACACCUCCUUUUUCCUACCCCGGGAGGGGUAUAAGGGAGUUUUUUCAAUUAAAGUGACAAUAACCAAAAUGGGAUUAUUUAUUAAAUUCAGAGUCGCCACUUGGGAUAAGUAUAUGGUGUCCCAAGACACCGGUUUAAAAUCCCGAAUUGAGGAAGGUUGACUCUUAUUUAUGGUCCGCGAACAUAGAAAUCCAGGUAAGGAAUUCUGUUAAUUUGGGAGAAAGUGUUAGGCAUUACUGAGUUCCGUGGUUUUAGCAUGGUCUCUUUAAUCAUACAUGUCGUAUUAAAUUGUUCAAUUACUUAUGUUUAAACCUAUGUGCAUCUACCCCCUUAACCACUUUUAAUUACUCGAUUAUUCGUAAUUAAGAAAUUAUCUCAAAAUGAGUCAUGUGUACGUGUACUCAUUUCGUUUGGUGUGUCAUGAAUCAUGUCACCCGUACGUGUCCACAAUUCCUAAGACUUAUCUUAUUCAAAAAAAAAGGUUUGGUCAAAGUUGCGCGAAUGCAUACUUUGAUUUUUUUUUAGAAAAUCGUAAUUGUGUCACGCGAAUGUGUACACAAUCACGAUGAUAGAUUAAUUAAGGGCGAGCAUAAAGCAUUUAGCAUAUUUGGAUUAUUCUUAUAUCAACAAUCAAACCGUUAAUUAUUGAAGAGAUUGGGCUUAGGAUAUGGAGUUAACAUAUUUGGCUUUUCUUACAUGCUAUUUCAGACCAAAUAUCAGAUGGCCUAAUUAAUUUGAAACCUUCCUCGUAGCCCCAUGAAUAAAGGAAAUAAUGAAAGUCUUAAUCUAAUGUAUUAACAAAAUAAACCAAAUAUGGGCAUGAGAAAUGCUUAAUGCCAAUAUUAAUUAAAGCUUGAAUAGAGCUAACCAAAACCCCAUUUACCAUGUAAACCCUCGGAAAUCAGUUGUCUCUAUGAACGGACGGUAUUAAAGUAACAAAGUCUUGAAAGAAGGCUAAUCCUCGAUCUUAUAUUUUCAUUAUUCAUUGGACUAGAACUAAACUAAUAAAAUAAAGAGACAUAAUAUAUUAUUUAAAACAAACAAUCACAAAAACAAUUAUGAAAAGACAACAAAACAUUCUGCUAGUAAUAACUUAGCCAAAGAGAAGAGAAAGGGAACAUAUUUGAACAAUAUAUGAAGAAGUGGAUGAAAAAGUUAAAAGGAUCGGACCUUUUAUAUAAAUUAUCUGAGUUGGAAUUACACGAGCUUAACAAUUGGACAAUUGUUUAUCAGAGUGUUUGCCGGCGACAACAAAUAGAACCAGCGACCGGAGACUCGAACGGCGAUCAAAGAACCGCCAAACAGCGACCAACUCGAACCAACUUGCAAUAUUUCGAAAAAUCAAACCACAAAAAUAGAACCUCUAUUUCGUAUAGGAAAAGAAGACAGAGGUGAUUUUCUUCCUUCUGAACUAAAGUUUCAUGAAGGAAAUAAAUUGAGAAAGGGAAAACGUGAUUAAUUGAGGGGUGCUGCAAAACAAAAAUUGGGGGAGGGGGGAACUCACGGCUGGUUGAUGUUCGAGAAAGUGUAGGGUGAAGCAUUCGUCCGUUUUCUUUCAAUUUUUGGGAGAUGAGAGGUUAGCUCUUGUAUCUUGGUUCAGAGACGAGCGUCCAUGGAGAAUUCUCCAUUUUUGGGGAGGUGUCACUGGAAUUGGUGAUGAAGGAGGCACUGCUGGUUCUUUUUGCUCUUCAUGGCAGAAGCUCUAGGUAUUAGGUCACAGCUAGGUUAGGGAUUUCUAGGUUCAUUUUUCUUUGUAGUGUGAUGAUGGGUUAAGGUUAAAGAGGAAGGGAGGAGUUGGCUAGGUUUUAGAGAUUAGGGUGGUGUAAUGGGCUAAGAAGAUUGGGCUUGGUGAAUUGAGCUAAAUUUGGCUUUUAAUUCUAUACUUCUUUCAAUUUGGC